UUAAUUGAAGAGUUUGAUCAUGGCUCAGAUUGAACGCUGGCGGCAGGCCUAACACAUGCAAGUCGAGCGGUAACAGAGAGAAGCUUGCUUCUCUGCUGACGAGCGGCGGACGGGUGAGUAAUACUUGGGAAUUUGCCUUUAGGCGGGGGACAACCACGGGAAACUGUGGCUAAUACCGCAUAAUGUCUACGGACCAAAGUGGGGGA
RNAcentral lists this ribosomal RNA (206 nucleotides) under Idiomarina loihiensis. RNAcentral's name for it is "partial 16S ribosomal RNA". It matches the Rfam family "Bacterial small subunit ribosomal RNA", at positions 1 to 213 of the family's 1533-position model. The record is from RNAcentral. Lineage: Bacteria; Pseudomonadati; Pseudomonadota; Gammaproteobacteria; Alteromonadales; Idiomarinaceae.